AUGAACGCUAGCUACAGGCUUAACACAUGCAAGUCGCGGGGAAACGGCAUCGAAAGCUUGCUUUUGAUGGGCGUCGACCGGCGCACGGGUGAGUAACGCGUAUCCAACCUGCCCAUCACUUGGGAAUAACCUUGCGAAAGUAAGACUAAUGCCCAAUGACAUCCCACGAAGGCAUCCGAAUGGGAUUAAAGAUUUAUCGGUGAUGGAUGGGGAUGCGUCUGAUUAGCUUGUUGGCGGGGUGACGGCCCACCAAGGCAACGAUCAGUAGGGGUUCUGAGAGGAAGGUCCCCCACAUUGGAACUGAGACACGGUCCAAACUCCUACGGGAGGCAGCAGUGAGGAAUAUUGGUCAAUGGGCGAGAGCCUGAACCAGCCAAGUAGCGUGCAGGAUGACGGCCCUAUGGGUUGUAAACUGCUUUUAUAAGGGAAUAAAGUGGGUCACGUGUGACUUUUUGCAUGUACCUUAUGAAUAAGGACCGGCUAAUUCCGUG
RNAcentral lists this ribosomal RNA (491 nucleotides) under uncultured bacterium. Its description in RNAcentral is "partial 16S ribosomal RNA". It matches the Rfam family "Bacterial small subunit ribosomal RNA", at positions 29 to 507 of the family's 1533-position model. The record is from RNAcentral.